GUGCCAGCAGCCGCGGUAAGACAGAGGGUGCAAACGUUGCUCGGAAUUACUGGGCGUAAAGCGCAUGUAGGCGGCUUUGUAAGUCGGUUGUGAAAUCCCUCGGCUUAACCGAGGAAGGGCAGUCGAUACUGCAAAGCUAGAGUACCGGAGAGGGUCGUGGAAUUCCUGGUGUAGAGGUGAAAUUCGUAGAUAUCAGGAGGAACACCGGCGGCGAAGGCGGCGACCUGGACGGAUACUGACGCUCAGAUGCGAAAGCGUGGGUAGCAAACAGGAUUAGAAACCCGUGUAGUCC
This 292-nucleotide ribosomal RNA is filed under the name uncultured bacterium. RNAcentral's name for it is "partial 16S ribosomal RNA". It matches the Rfam family "Bacterial small subunit ribosomal RNA", at positions 505 to 796 of the family's 1533-position model. The record is from RNAcentral.